RNAcentral lists this ribosomal RNA (460 nucleotides) under uncultured bacterium. RNAcentral's name for it is "partial 16S ribosomal RNA". It matches the Rfam family "Bacterial small subunit ribosomal RNA", at positions 338 to 795 of the family's 1533-position model. The record is from RNAcentral.
CCUACGGGAGGCAGCAGUGAGGAAUAUUGGUCAAUGGACGAGAGUCUGAACCAGCCAAGUAGCGUGAAGGAUGACUGCCCUAUGGGUUGUAAACUUCUUUUAUAUGGGAGUAAAAUGUUCCACGUGUGGGAUUUUGUAUGUACCAUAUGAAUAAGGAUCGGCUAACUCCGUGCCAGCAGCGGCGGUAAUACGGAGGAUCCGAGCGUUAUCCGGAUUUAUUGGGUUUAAAGGGAGCGUAGGUGGAUUGUUAAGUCAGUUGUGAAAGUUUGCGGCUCAACCGUAAAAUUGCAGUUGAAACUGGCAGUCUUGAGUACAGUAGAGGUGAGCGGAAUUCGUGGUGUAGCGGUGAAAUGCUUAGAUAUCACGAAGAACUCCGAUUGCGAAGGCAGUUCACUGGACUGCAACUGACACUGAGGCUCGAAAGUGUGGGUAUCAAACAGGAUUAGAUACCCUUGUAGUC